CUUCCAAGCUUCCUACAGGGAAGCGCCUACGAGGGACCAGACCAGGACAAUUCUGGGAAAUAGACUUUACUGAAAUUAAACCAGCAAGGUAUGGACUUAAGUAUCUUCUAGUUUUUUGUAGAUACUUUUUCAGGGUGGGUUGAAGCCUUCCCCACGAAAAAAGAAACAGCUCAAGUGGUAAUCAAAAAGAUCCUGGAGGACAUCUUCCCGAGAUUCGGCCUGCCUAAGGUAAUAGGGUCCGAUAAUAGACCGGCGUUCGUGGCCCAGGUAAGUCAGGGAUUGGCCAGGACCCUGGGGAUUAAUUGGAAGUUACAUUGUGCUUAUAGACCCCAGAGCUCAGGACAGGUAGAAAGGAUGAAUAGGACUAUUAAAGAGACCUUAACAAAAUUGAGCUUAGAGACCGGCAUAAAAGAUUGGACUAUGCUCCUACCUUAUACACUGUUUCGUGCAAGAAAUACUCCCUCAGUCUCUUUAUGUAAUCUUUCCCCCUAUGAAGUUCUCUAUGGUACCCCUCCUCCAAUAAGAGACCUAACCCCAACUUUGAAACUUAAUGAUUCCUUCCAUACUCCCUUGCUUGACAGACUUAAAGCUCUUGAAAAAACCCAGCAGUACCUGUGGAAACAGCUGGCUGCUUCCUGCCAACCUGGAGACGAAGGGACCCCACACCAAUACCAAGUGGGAGACUUCGUCUAUAUAAGACGACAUCAGGUGUCAUUCCUGGAGCCUCGCUGGAAAGGAACCUGGUGGGCAUGUGACUCAGGGUUAACUCCUUGCAUUUCAGCCCAGAUAUUUAACAACUCUGUAAAUUAUUGUGUAAUGGUACAAAUAUUUCCCAGAGUGCUCUAUCAUGACGCAAAUCCAUUUGAAGAUCAAAUAAGGGGAUAUACCACCCGAUUCCGCCGGGAACCUGUGUCCCUCACUUUAGCCAUAUUAUUAGAAAUAGGAGUUGCUAUAGGAGUGGGUACAGGAACCGCUGCCCUGGUCCAUGGGUCUCAACAAAUGGCCCAAUUACAAGCAGCAAUAGAUCAGGACUUAAAAACAUUAGAAACCUCCAUCACAGCCUUACAAGAGUCCCUAACCUCUCUCUCUAAAGUUGUUUUACAAAAUAGACGAGGGUUAGACCUCCUCUUCAUGAGGGAAGGGGGACUCUGUGCUGCCUUAAGGGAGAAAUGUUGCUUCUAUGCUGACCAUAGUGGGGUAGUCAAAGAAUCAAUGACUAAAUUAAGAAAACACCUUGAGGAGCGACAACGAGAGAGAGAAACUCAAAAAGGAUGGUUUGAGUCUUGGUUCACACAAUCCCCCUGGCUAACUACACUCUUAUCAGCCCUAGCUGGUCCUUUAAUAAUCCUCAUGUUAUUGUUAACUGUGGGACCCUGUUUACUCAACCGUGUGGUCUCCUUUCUCCAAGCUCAAAUUGGACAAGUUAAACUUAUGGUAAUAAGACAACAGUAUGUCCCUUUAGCAGACACAGAGUGUGAUACCCCUCAAUAAUCUGUCACUUCUAAGAUUAGAAGUACUCAGAAAAAGAAGUGGGGAAUGUAAAGGUUAAAUUUAAGUUUUGCUCUCCUGUUAAGUUUAAGUUUUGUUUUCCUGGAACCCGAAACUUAUGUUAAAAACAGUUACUUAUGUCAAAAUGUACCCUGACCCAACACCCCCUGACAAAACGCAUGAUUAUUCUGUAAUUGUUAUUUUGUAACAAUCCCACCCUCGAACCCUAACUGCCAUAUGAACUUCCCUGUUUAAACACUGCAUAAAAACUCUGCUUAAGCUGUGCUCAGAGCUCCAGCUUCUCUCAGGAGAACUCUGAACCCCAGCAUGCUGGUCCAGUAAACCCCUUUGCUUUUGCAUGAGACAGUCUCUUGGUGGUUCUUUCCUCCGAUGUUUGCCCGACCCUAACAG
RNAcentral lists this long non-coding RNA (1899 nucleotides) under Marmota monax (woodchuck). The record is from RNAcentral. Lineage: Eukaryota; Metazoa; Chordata; Mammalia; Rodentia; Sciuridae.